Long non-coding RNA from Gallus gallus (chicken), 311 nucleotides. The record is from Ensembl. NCBI's taxonomy places the organism in Eukaryota, Metazoa, Chordata, Aves, Galliformes, Phasianidae.
GCAGACGCAGCACCCGCCGCCGGCCCUGCAGAGACCCUGGGAGAAGCUGCGCCUGGAGGAGCGCGAGGCGGAGAAGGAGGCGAGGAAAGUCAGCAAGAGCAUCGACCGGGCGCUCAAAGAGCAGAAGCGGGAGUACAAGCAGACGCACCGCCUGCUGCUACUGGGUGCAGCUCAUAUUUCUCUGAGCACAAGAUCAAUCUGAGAAAGCAACAGGAAAGAUUGACUGGCAGAGAGCUUAGGGAGCAACUGUUGUGGAAACCAGUCUUUUUGCAUUUAAGAACCCACAGUGGACAGCCCUAAUUGCUUAUUGG